Pygocentrus nattereri (red-bellied piranha) is the source of this 1507-nucleotide long non-coding RNA. RefSeq lists it as uncharacterized. NCBI's taxonomy places the organism in Eukaryota, Metazoa, Chordata, Actinopteri, Characiformes, Serrasalmidae. The transcript is spliced from 2 exons. The record is from RefSeq and is a predicted model, not a curated record.
AGGCUGUCACAACUUACAUAAAACCUUGGAGGAGUGUGAGACAGGAGAGGAUAGGAUGCAGUUUUCUGGCGAGUUUUAUCUUGUAGAUGGGAACUCACAACAGCUCUCCCUGCAGAAUAAACCAGAGCUCUGAGGUCUUGCCUAAAGAAGAGGAAGAGAGAUGAGGAAGAUUGUGACAACAGCAAAACCUGUCUCCCUGUCUCAGCUGGAUUAAUAACUUAUUUUAAUUACUUGAUUUAGCUCUAAUAAAUAAAUUAACUACACUGAAUGACAACUGUAUAAAUUAUAUACAGAUAUUCACACAAAACCAUAGGUUCACUUUUUAAAAUACUUUUAUUUUACUACUCUUUUGUUUGACUCCUAUGACACUGAAGUCAUUUCCGUCUCUCAGAUGGAAUUUUGAAGAAGCAAAAAGAUCAGAUUUUAAUACAAUUAUUGACUUUAGUUUUUAGUAUGUUGAAUGGAAAUCCUAAAAGUAAAUUUCCCGAUAUUCAGAAAUAAUAACAUUUCAGCAAUGAUUAGUUUUACUUUACUAUCAUGUGUUUUAAACAAUGAAAAGCUCACAGGCACCUCUCUUUACACAUAACCCCCUCAAACACAUUAGACAGUGUACCCAAUUUAUACCACGGCAAGAAACAGUAAACUACACAACCAACACACAACUUAUUAAAAAUGCAUCCCUGAGUGGGAGUUGAAUUAGCAGCUGUUCAUGUUCAGCAUUCUGAUACCCUGAGUGUAAAAACUGUCCUUAAACUGUCCUUACUUGUUGCAGAAGUCAGUGGUUCCUCCUACCUGAUGGGUGGAAACAGACUAAAAGCAGGAUGGUGGAAUCUGGUGAUCUCCUGCUUGUUUGGAAUGAAAACCUGCACAGGUUGUGUUUUUUUAAUGAUGGUUUUAGAGUGAACUUCCCACAUUAGAUCACUAGAGACGUGUAAGCCAGGCUGUCUCUAACUGCUUUCCAUCUCCACGUUUCCACCAUUUACAGUAAUAGAAAUAUGAGCUGAGUUGUUCCUUCACAAAUCUACUAUAAAUACUUUAGUUUUGCUGAUGUUUAAGGCAAAGCAAGUUUAUUAUAAAGCACACUUUAUACACAAUGUAGUACAGAGGAUUACAAUCAGAGUAAAAAUGAUAGAUGAGAAUAAAAUGAAUGCAGAUAUGUAAUUAAAGUACUGAACUGAAAGGAAAAGAGAAUAAAGAGUAAAGGAUGGAAAGAUACAAAGUGAAAUUGUUAGAGAGUAUGAAAGGUGAACAGAUGUGUUGUCUGCUUUUGAAAAUGGCUGGAGUGCACGUCUGGGCAUUUAUUCCACCUGACUGAUGGUGGUUGCCUCACCAUGUUUUGUUCUGGUUCUAAAUACUGGUGACUGGUCAGACUCUAGUGAGCUGAGAUGUCUAGCAGGCCUGUGUUUUUAUGGGAUGUCAGCGGUGUAUUUAGGUUUAGCCCAUUCGGUGAUUUGUAGACAUGCAGCAGUGUUUUAAAUUGAAUUUGGGAAUAAACUGAUAAAUCUGA